This 491-nucleotide ribosomal RNA is filed under the name uncultured soil bacterium. RNAcentral describes it as "bacterial SSU rRNA". It matches the Rfam family "Bacterial small subunit ribosomal RNA", at positions 26 to 506 of the family's 1533-position model. The record is from RNAcentral.
AGAUUGAACGCUGGCGGCAUGCCUUACACAUGCAAGUCGAACGGCAGCACGGGAGCAAUCCUGGUGGCGAGUGGCGAACGGGUGAGUAAUACAUCGGAACGUGCCCAAUCGUGGGGGAUAACGCAGCGAAAGCUGUGCUAAUACCGCAUAAGAUCUACGGAUGAAAGCAGGGGAUCGCAAGACCUUGCGCGAAUGGGAGCGGCCGAUGGCAGAUUAGGUAGUUGGUGAGGUAAAGGCUCACCAAGCCUUCGAUCUGUAGCUGGUCUGAGAGGACGACCAGCCACACUGGGACUGAGACACGGCCCAGACUCCUACGGGAGGCAGCAGUGGGGAAUUUGGACAAUGGGCGAAAGCCUGAUCCAGCCAUGCCGCGUGCAGGAUGAAGCCGUUCGGUUGUUAAACGUGUCGUUUAGUACGGAACGAAAAGUCUCUUUACUAAUAAAGAGGAUCAUAGACGGUAACCGUAAGAAUAAGACACCGACUAACUAACG